This is a non-coding RNA of Stegodyphus mimosarum, 73 nucleotides long. Lineage: Eukaryota; Metazoa; Arthropoda; Arachnida; Araneae; Eresidae. The record is from Rfam.
GCAUUCGUGGUGUAGUGGUCAGUACGCUCGGCGCGUAUUCGAGAGUUCCGUGGUUCGAGUCCUCACGAGGGCA